ACUUGUACCGACUGGAUGAGCAGCGAACGGGUGAGUAACGCGUGGGGAAUCUGCCUUUGAGCGGGGGACAACAUUUGGAAACGAAUGCUAAUACCGCAUAAAAACUUUAAACACAAGUUUUAAGUUUGAAAGAUGCAAUUGCAUCACUCAAAGAUGAUCCCGCGUUGUAUUAGCUAGUUGGUGAGGUAAAGGCUCACCAAGGCGAUGAUACAUAGCCGACCUGAGAGGGUGAUCGGCCACAUUGGGACUGAGACACGGCCCAAACUCCUACGGGAGGCAGCAGUAGGGAAUCUUCGGCAAUGGACGAAAGUCUGACCGAGCAACGCCGCGUGAGUGAAGAAGGUUUUCGGAUCGUAAAACUCUGUUGGUAGAGAAGAACGUUGGUGAGAGUGGAAAGCUCAUCAAGUGACGGUAACUACCCAGAAAGGGACGGCUAACUACGUGCCAGCAGCCGCGGUAAUACGUAGGUCCCGAGCGUUGUCCGGAUUUAUUGGGCGUAAAGCGAGCGCAGGUGGUUUAUUAAGUCUGGUGUAAAAGGCAGUGGCUCAACCAUUGUAUGCAUUGGAAACUGGUAGACUUGAGUGCAGGAGAGGAGAGUGGAAUUCCAUGUGGUAGCGGGUGG
Molecule: ribosomal RNA, 622 nt
Filed under: Lactococcus lactis
Lineage: Bacteria; Bacillati; Bacillota; Bacilli; Lactobacillales; Streptococcaceae
Description: bacterial SSU rRNA
Rfam family: Bacterial small subunit ribosomal RNA
Source: RNAcentral